RNAcentral lists this ribosomal RNA (443 nucleotides) under uncultured bacterium. RNAcentral describes it as "partial 16S ribosomal RNA". It matches the Rfam family "Bacterial small subunit ribosomal RNA", at positions 338 to 795 of the family's 1533-position model. The record is from RNAcentral.
CCUACGGGGGGCAGCAGUGGGGGAUAUUGGACAAUGGGGGGAACCCUGAUCCAGCGACGCCGCGUGAGUGAAGAAGUAUUUCGGUAUGUAAAGCUCUGUCAGCAGGGAAGAAAGAAAUGACGGUACCUGACCAAGAAGCCCCGGCUAACUACGUGCCAGCAGCCGCGGUAAUACGUAGGGGGCAAGCGUUAUCCGGAAUUACUGGGUGUAAAGGGAGCGUAGACGGUUAAGUAAGUCUGGAGUGAAAGGCCGGGGCUCAACCCCGGUACUGCUCUGGAAACUAUUUAACUUGAGUGCAGGAGAGGUAAGCGGAAUUCCUAGUGUAGCGGUGAAAGGCGUAGAUAUUAGGAGGAACACCAGUGGCGAAGGCGGCUUACUGGACCGCGACUGACGUUGAGGCUCGAAAGCGUGGGGAGCGAACAGGAUUAGAUACCCCAGUAGUC